Molecule: long non-coding RNA, 947 nt
Organism: Sycon ciliatum
Lineage: Eukaryota; Metazoa; Porifera; Calcarea; Leucosolenida; Sycettidae
Exons: 2
Source: RefSeq, a predicted model, not a curated record
UCCGUGACAGCAGUAGCAGCAGUAGUACUAGUGGCACGGAGAGCGACGAUGAUGAACAGGCGUCCGAGAGGUCGCAUGUCCACAUCCAGGAGCAGCUUGCCGCAGGAGACGAUGGGAGCGAAGGGCAAUGGAAGAUGGAAGAAAACCAGCCCUUGCAAGACUCGUUCACUGCCCAGCCCGGUAUCAAGGUGCCAGUGCCAGAAAAUGCUGAGCCAUAUCAUUAUUUUUGCCUGUUUUUUACUUUACAAUUUUGGCAAUUGCUCUGCACUGAGACCAAUCGAUUUGCCCAGCAAUAUCUAAAUGCACACCGUGACACACUCCCAGCUCGUAGCAGAUUUAGGAAAUGGGUAGACGUUAGCGUACAAGAAAUGAAAGUGUUCUUUGCUCUAUUUUUGCUGAUGGGAUUUAUUUGGAAGCCAGAAAUCGAUCUCUAUUGGAACAGGAACCCUCUGAUUUUCACCCCUUUAUUCCCCGCCUCGAUGAAGCGCGACCGAUGGAUGUGUAUUGCAAGUUUUCUGCACUUUGCAAACAAUGAAGACGAGACGGCUAGAACCGACAAGCUUAGGAAAAUUCGGCCGUUGAUUACAUUUUUCCAGGAUAAAUUUCAGACCGUGUACAUUCCGUAUAAACAUAUCUCUAUUGAUGAAGAAUUAGUGCCAUGGAAGGGUAGACUAGAUUUUAGGCAGUUUAUACCCUCGAAACGAGCAAGAUUUGGUGUCAAGAUAUAUGCUCUGUGUGAGUCUAGUGGUUAUAUGUCUAACUUUUUUGUUUAUGUUGGCCGAGAUGAUCAUGCCUAUCAGCCUGGCUUAGUAGAGAAAGUCGGCAAAUCUGGUGCCGUAGUUGUCCAUUUAUUAGAUCCAUUAUUUUUAGACAAAGGCUACAACGUAUACAUAGAUAACUUUUAUUCUAGUAUUGAGCUGGCUGAAUACUUGGAGACCAGGAAGACC